This 433-nucleotide unclassified non-coding RNA is filed under the name soil metagenome. RNAcentral's name for it is "partial contains 5.8S ribosomal RNA, internal transcribed spacer 2, and large subunit ribosomal RNA". The stretch from base 1 to 120 matches the Rfam family "5.8S ribosomal RNA", at positions 35 to 154 of the family's 154-position model. The record is from RNAcentral.
GAUGAAGAACGUAGCGAAAUGCGAUACGUAAUGUGAAUUGCAGAAUUCAGUGAAUCAUCGAAUCUUUGAACGCAUAUUGCGCUCUUUGGUAUUCCGAAGAGCAUGCUUGUUUGAGUAUCAGUAAACACCUCAAAGCUUUUGGAUUUUUUAAUCGAAAAGCUUUGGACUUGAGCAAUCCCAACACCAAUCUUUUUGAGAUCGGUGGCGGGUUGCUUGAAAUGCAGGUGCAGCUGGACAUUCUCCUGAGCUAAAAGCAUAUUCAUUUAGUCCCGUCAAACGGAUUAUUACUUUUGCUGCAGCUAACAUAAAGGGAGUUUGACCGUAUUGGCUGACUGAUGCAGGAUUUCACAAGGGUCGGCAACGAUUCUUGUUAAACUCGAUCUCAAAUCAAGUAAGACUACCCGCUGAACUUAAGCAUAUCAAUAAGCGAGGA